RNAcentral lists this ribosomal RNA (500 nucleotides) under uncultured bacterium. Its description in RNAcentral is "partial 16S ribosomal RNA". It matches the Rfam family "Bacterial small subunit ribosomal RNA", at positions 29 to 523 of the family's 1533-position model. The record is from RNAcentral.
AACGAACGCUGGCGGCAUGCCUAACACAUGCAAGUCGAACGGCAGCACGGACUUCGGUCUGGUGGCGAGUGGCGAACGGGUGAGUAAUGUAUCGGAACGUGCCCAGUCGUGGGGGAUAACGUAGUGAAAAUUACGCUAAUACCGCAUACGAUCUAUGGAUGAAAGCGGGGGAUCGCAAGACCUCGCGCGAUUGGAGCGGCCGAUAUCUGAUUAGCUAGUUGGUGGGGUAAAAGCCUACCAAGGCAACGAUCAGUAGCUGGUCUGAGAGGACGACCAGCCACACUGGGACUGAGAAAAGGCCCAGGCUCCUACGGGAGGCAGCAGUGGGGAAUUUUGGACAAUGGGCGAAAGCCUGAUCCAGCCAUUCCGCGUGCAGGAUGAAGGCCCUUGGGUUGUAAACUGCUUUUGUACAGAACGAAAAGGUUUCUACUAAUACUAGGAGCUCAUGACGGUACUGUAAGAAUAAGCACCGGCUAACUACGUGCCAGCAGCCGCCGUAA